AAUACAUGCAAGUCGAACGCUUUGUGGUUCAACUGAUUUGAAGAGCUUGCUCAGAUAUGACGAUGGACAUUGCAAAGAGUGGCGAACGGGUGAGUAACACGUGGGAAACCUACCUCUUAGCAGGGGAUAACAUUUGGAAACAGAUGCUAAUACCGUAUAACAAUGACAACCGCAUGGUUGUUAUUUAAAAGAUGGUUCUGCUAUCACUAAGAGAUGGUCCCGCGGUGCAUUAGCUAGUUGGUAAGGUAAUGGCUUACCAAGGCGAUGAUGCAUAGCCGAGUUGAGAGACUGAUCGGCCACAAUGGGACUGAGACACGGCCCAUACUCCUACGGGAGGCAGCAGUAGGGAAUCUUCCACAAUGGGCGAAAGCCUGAUGGAGCAACGCCGCGUGUGUGAUGAAGGGUUUCGGCUCGUAAAACACUGUUGUAAGAGAAGAAUGACAUUGAGAGUAACUGUUCAAUGUGUGACGGUAUCUUACCAGAAAGGAACGGCUAAAUACGUGCCAGCAGCCGCGGUAAUACGUAUGUUCCAAGCGUUAUCCGGAUUUAUUGGGCGUAAAGCGAGCGCAGACGGUUAUUUAAGUCUGAAGUGAAAGCCCUCAGCUCAACUGAGGAAUUGCUUUGGAAACUGGAUGACUUGAGUGCAGUAGAGGAAAGUGGAACUCCAUGUGUAGCGGUGAAAUGCGUAGAUAUAUGGAAGAACACCAGUGGCGAAGGCGGCUUUCUGGACUGUAACUGACGUUGAGGCUCGAAAGUGUGGGUAGCAAACAGGAUUAGAUACCCUGGUAGUCCACACCGUAAACGAUGAGUGCUAGGUGUUUGAGGGUUUCCGCCCUUAAGUGCCGCAGCUAACGCAUUAAGCACUCCGCCUGGGGAGUACGACCGCAAGGUUGAAACUCAAAGGAAUUGACGGGGACCCGCACAAGCGGUGGAGCAUGUGGUUUAAUUCGAAGCAACGCGAAGAACCUUACCAGGUCUUGACAUCCCUUGACAACUCCAGAGAUGGAGCGUUCCCUUCGGGGACAAGGUGACAGGUGGUGCAUGGUUGUCGUCAGCUCGUGUCGUGAGAUGUUGGGUUAAGUCCCGCAACGAGCGCAACCCUUAUUACUAGUUGCCAGCAUUCAGUUGGGCACUCUAGUGAGACUGCCGGUGACAAACCGGAGGAAGGUGGGGAUGACGUCAAAUCAUCAUGCCCCUUAUGACCUGGGCUACACACGUGCUACAAUGGCGUAUACAACGAGUUGCCAACCCGCGAGGGUGAGCUAAUCUCUUAAAGUACGUCUCAGUUCGGAUUGUAGGCUGCAACUCGCCUACAUGAAGUCGGAAUCGCUAGUAAUCGCGGAUCAGCACGCCGCGGUGAAUACGUUCCCGGGUCUUGUACACACCGCCCGUCACACCAUGAGAGUUUGUAACACCCAAAGCCGGUGGGGUAACCUUCGGGAGCCAGCCGUCUAAGGUGGGACAGAUGAUUAGGG
This 1475-nucleotide ribosomal RNA is filed under the name Weissella confusa. RNAcentral describes it as "bacterial SSU rRNA". It matches the Rfam family "Bacterial small subunit ribosomal RNA". The record is from RNAcentral. Lineage: Bacteria; Bacillati; Bacillota; Bacilli; Lactobacillales; Lactobacillaceae.